UGGGUAUUGUGACUAUCGUCGUUCCCUGGUCGUAUCGAAGAAGAACCGUACAUAUCGAGCAUAAUUUUUAUGAAACUUUGUCGAAAUAAAAUAGUUAUGCCAUGCAAAGGGAUAGGUUAGUAUUAAAUUUAGCUAUUUUUAACGUUUAUGCACUGUUCUUGUCAAUUUCUAGCCGUGUUUUGAAACGUGCUGCAAAUUCAUUGAAUUUUAUACACUUCGCCACCCAUUCAAGCGCUUCGUUUGCGCUUUAAAAUAGUCGCUUUUUCCAUUCGUAUUUCUCCCAAAUUUUCUUGCAAUAAUGUUCCGAAAUACCCCCAGCUUUGAUUGAUAUAACUCAUAUUUGUUUUAUCUGCUGUUUCAGGACAACAAUUGGACAGGAAAGUUAACAAAGUUUAGUGAUAAGUCGCCGACCCGAAGCACGUGCACGUGGUAAGCGUCCAUUAUCACUUUUUUUUAACAAAUUUUAUUUGGAUCGAUACUCACAAUUUUUAACAAACAAAAGAAUAUAAAAGAACAAAUAUUUAUUAAGUUAGAUAACCUAGAUAUCAAAUGUAGAUCCAAAAAGGUAAGCCGGGACCGGUCAUAAAGUAAUUACUAGAGGGAGGUGGAGGAUAAGGCCAUAUAAAAAAAAAUAGUUGGUUAGCGUCCUUAGCUUUUGCCAAAAAGUGGGCGGGCGGGCGCUUUUUUUUUAAUUUUUACUAAUUUUUAACGCCUUGGUUUUACUCACUGUUAGGUCCGAAACUGGAUUUUCUUGCGCAGUACAGAUAUUUUUUUAUAUAUUUCAAAAGAUAAUUCAUACCGUCAAUUUCGCACACAAUUUUGCAAAUUAUUAACACAAUUGACUACAGUCAACAGAAAUACUACAUAUAUUAGAGCCCGUUGAUCAAUAAAAGUCGGGCUUUUUAAAAUAAAAAAUUUUAAAAAAAUCCUGAGCGGGGCCUUUUUUGUGGGCGGGCGGGGACGCUAACCAACUAUUUUUUUUUUUAUGUGGCCUAAAUGAAAUUUCAAGUACAUAUUUCCAUACCCUCCCAUCAAAAAUCGCAUAUGAAAGAAUAUAAGCCCGAGGCUUAUAGUCAGAGGUUUACGGUAUGCCUUUGCAGGCUUCACCCACUUGGCUUAUGUAGUUGUAAAGACUGUUCACAUGGGCAAUAGAAUAAGAAAGUUAGGAAACUUUAUGCAGACAUAAUGGACUUCAUUAUCUACAUGUUUUUGUCUUGGUUUAUGCAAGAAAUGAUCGGUUCAUCGUCACGUGUGUAUUGUAUUUUUGCUAAAGUGACCAAAAGCUUACUGCCAUUUGCAUUCAAGCUUGAAGAGUGCAAAAAUGUUCAGGUUUAUUUACGUUUCAAACGUAACGUUUCAAAGGAUAUCACGCCCGUUUGGCCGAUAAAAUUGAAUUAUUUGAAAAUAUAAAAAUAUUGAUUGUGGAAGAAUAUACUUUUAUUCUUGUAUUCUCGUGAUUCUAAAUACUAUACAAUCAAUUAUUACAUUUUGUAGCUGAAUUAAUGUUAAAUGUUACAUGUUGUAAACAACUUAAAAAACGACUCAUCUUAUGAGUUCAUUGGCGAAGUAAUUUUAAAAAUAAACGUUGUCUAAGCCGAGAAAAUCAAAGUUUAAAGUUUAUGUAAAUCAACAUGAAUCUGUAUCACAUAUACAGAUACGACACGCUUAUGAUUUUUCUUUGUGUUUUCUUCAUGAAUUAUUCAUGAGUUUUUUAAUAGGGAUUUACAGCACAAAAAUGUACAAACGUCAUUGGAAUUCAAACAAAACAUGACAUAUUAUGUAACGAAUAAUAACCGUUGCAUGGUUCAAACGACUGGUUUUGUUGGUCAAAAGGGCGUGAUUACCCCCUGGAACAUUGCGUUUAAAACAUAAACGUGAAAAAAUUUGCACGCUUCAAGCUUGAACGCAAAUGGAAGUAGUUAUGUUUUCAUUGUUUUCAACCAUUGUGUAAUAUCACAACUGCAUGGGUAAUUAAACCAAUUAAUGCUAUUAUUGGUUGGUUGGGCAAGAAAACAUGACCGGCUAAACAGAGAGUUAUGAAGUGGAGAGUUACUGUAUCUCGGAGAGUUAUGUUCAAACCACACCCACUUUUCCCAAUGACCACACCCAAUUUCUUAACUCUCCCAACGUUUCCUUGAACUAACAUGAGAGAGUUAUGUUUCACACAACUUUCUAUCUCUCGUUAACAUUAUGAAAAUGUUAGAGAGUUGUCAUUUUUAUAACUCUCCGCGUUCAUGAUUGCAUCAUGUGGCAAUGAAGUCAGGGUUAAGUCAGUUUUUUGAGAAAACCUUCCACAUAUUAGUACAUUUUACUAAAUUUACAAGUGUCAACAUUUUACGCUAGUAGAAACUAAUAGUACUUUUGUACUUACCAAGUUCAUCUACAGUAUAUGUAUGUAAAUGUUUAUAUAAAUAUACAUGCUCACUUGGAUUAUCUAGCAAGACCAGCAUUCAGAUACAUAUUAGAUAGAACAAGAAGAUCUUAAUCCAAUGUAAUGCCCUAUUGGCUGAUCCGGGAAAGUAUUUCCAUUAGGCCUGAAUUGCUGAAAGAUUUCUUAAUUUUCUUGCAACUUAUUCUUGCCGUAUUUACUGCCAAAUACAUGUCAAAACAUGCUUCUGGGGGUACUAGUUGACUGAGUCAAGUUGCAUUUCCUGUUUGGACGCAUUCUAUUGACACGCUACAAACUGAAAUACCAAAAAAUAAGAUGAAAAUCUGAAGAAACAAGCUUUACUAACUAAGGUUUUCUUAAAAAAACUGACUUAAUUAACUCUAUUCAUUGCCAUAAUCGUGAACACGGAGAAAAUGAUAACUCUCUAACAUCUUCAUAAGUUAACGAGAGAGAGUUGCGUCAAACAUAACUCUUGUAUGUUAGUUCAGGAAACGUUGGGAGAGUUAAAAAAUUGGGUGUGGUUGUUGAGAAAAGUGGGCGUGGUUUGAACAUAACUCUGAAAUCAUAACUCUCCAGUUGGUAACUCUCCCUUAAGUCAUACCCCAAGAAAACAAUAGAGAGUUUAAGUUCGACUUCCAGUACCGAUACUGAUGUCUUCACUUCCGUUCUCAUAAAGCGUAAUAAGCUAUGACACGACUGAUAAAGUAUAUAACACAUUAAUCGUCACCGAAAAAAUGACUCGGACAAUGCCAAUAAACAAAUAGUUUACGUGUUUAUUGUAAAAAUUAUGAAAUAUUCAAUUUAUUUGAGUUUAUCUUACAAUUCCCACGACUUCCAAUACAAUUAGGCCGAAUUCGAUAGUGGUGACUUCCAAUACACUUGUCCUUGUGCUUCUUGUGAGCAGAGCACAUGACAUGUUGGUAUUGGAAGUCGAACUUAAACUCUCUAAUACACAUGUGAGCAUGAGCCAACCAUUUUUUGCAAAAACCAAGACAAAAACAUAGAUCAUGUAUGAGGUCUAUUAUGUCUGUAUCGAAACAUAACCUUGACUAUGAUCACAUGGGGGCCAAUGAUGGGCCUUUUAACCAUGCAUGGUUAAUGGAAGCAAGGGAUGAUUUAAAAAAAAAUUAUCAACACAAGCAAAAAAUUUUGAGAAAAAAUAAUUGCACAGGUUGGAAAUGCCCGCCCCCCCCCACAUCACUUUUCUAAUGGUCUUUCCCUUAGUUGACUAUGUCACCAUCAAGGGGGGGUCCCUAAUUGGAUGGACAGUUGAUAUACAUAUAGUAAGCUACUUCUUAGAAUAUUUAGGGGUGCACCGGAACUCAGUUCCGGCUGGAACAUCGAUUUUUUAGAGUUCCGGUUCCGGCUGGAACUAGUAAAAAAGCAUGGCCGGAACCAGAACUCUGUUGUUUUCAGAGAGAUAGAAUAUCAAACGUUUUUGUGUCUAACAAAAGGUCACAGUAGGUAGAAAUUUGGACUAUGCAAGGGAAAUGUACACUAGCACUUCAUUAUGGCGUUUAACGCUUGUCAAUCUUAUUAUUCUAACAUUUGCAAGCUCUCUCCUUGAUGACUUGAAGUGUAUGCAGCGGAUAAAGUAACAUAUGACUAUAUAUGGCUUAAUAAAUUAGUUCCGGUUCCGGCCAGAACUUUCUUCCAGUUCCGGUCGGAUCCGGUUCCAGCCGGAACUUAAAAAACUGGUUCUGGUGCACCCCUAAGAAUAGUUAUAUUAAUUUGCAGGCAAAUACAAGACUAUCGGUACUGCAUAUAAUGAAAAUAAGUAUUUUAUCACUAUGAUAAUUCUCGGUUGAAGCCAUGUAAUUAAAUACUUCUUAUUACCUCCAAUUUAGAUUCUCGCUGGUCAUGACAGUUGUAUCCGAAAGAAAGUGGGGCUAUGGAUGCUGGUCGAGUUCUAAACAGGGACCAUCAUGAGGACGUCCAAAUGCACAAAACUAAUUUCGUAUGUGGCAUCUUUAAUAUAAUUUCACUUUUUUUUUUGAGAAGAAUUUUCACCAAAAUUUUAACAGUGAAGCUUAGUGGUGGCUGUGGAUACUUUUGGUAUAUUAUGUACUUUAAUGGAUUAUAAUGAACAUUUAUGGAUUACUAAGGAUAUUUAUUACCAUGAACAUGUCCGGACAUAUGUACCUCUAUAUCAACGGUUACCCACAGACAUCGAUGUACCUCGAUAAUGGAGCUGCACUAUGGUUAAAGUGAGGUCUACCUUAAGGUACAGAUUUUCAUUGUUAGCCUGCUAUUGGGCAGUAGUUAGCCUGCUAUUAGGCAAUAGUUAGCCUGCUAUCAGGCAAUAGUUAGCCUGCUAUCAGGCAAUAGUUACCCUGCUAUCAGGCCGUAGUUAGCCUGUUAUCAGGUAAUGGUUAGCCUGCUAUCAGGCAGCACCUGUAUUUCGGUAUUGAAUUUGUACCCAUGACUCUAGUUUGCAUGUGUGCGGUGAAGUCUCUGGGUAGGCUAA
RNAcentral lists this long non-coding RNA (4856 nucleotides) under Paramuricea clavata. The record is from RNAcentral. Lineage: Eukaryota; Metazoa; Cnidaria; Anthozoa; Malacalcyonacea; Plexauridae.